AAUUUGGCAACACAGAAGACAUCCGGCCAGACAAUCCAUCCACAAUCUGACUAGAUUUUGGCGGCUCACCAACUUCACGGAUUCCUCAUUUUUCCUCGAUCUCCUUCCUCAACCCCGCACACACACUCACACCUAAAACACACACUAGUCACUAAACUCCUCUUUUUACCAAUAAAUCUUCAAACUAAAUUCACCAAAUCACUCCCCUUACCCUCUAGAGAACAUUUUAUAGCUUUAACUUUCUCAAAAACAAGAUUUAAUUCGGAUUCUAACUGCACAAGAACAAGGGUUUCAAUUUCUUGAACCCUUCAUUUGAGGCCGAAUUGGAGUGGAAUUUGAGGGGUUUCGUCACCAUUUGCAUCUGUAAUCAUCAAUCAAGAAGUUUGAGAUAACAAAUCUUCACCAACUUUUGCCAUUUAAAUUUUGUCAUUUUUCACUUUUUUCUAAUUUUUGGGCAAUUUUUGAAUUUCUUAAUUUUGUGAAGUUUUGUAUUUUCCAUUGUACUUGUUGAGAUUAUUAAUGAUUAUUGGUGAUGAUUAACACAUGGGUUUGUGAUUAUUUGGUGAAUUUAGUAAUUUUUAGCUAAUUUUGAGGGUUAAUGUGACUUGAUAAUUAUUAACUAAUUUCUUGAGUUCAUUAGAUUGGAGAAAAUUUUUUGAGAUAGGUGAUUUGCUCUAGGAUGUUUGCAUGCUAAGUUUAGACUUAAUUUGCUUAUCUAUUGGUUUUUGCAUGUUUAUUCUAGGAUUUUUGGUGAAUAGUAAAUUAAUGACCUUUUUAAGCGUAAACUCAUGUUUUAGAUGCUAUUUAGGAUUUAAUUAUACUUACUUACAUCAUUAAGAAGUGACUGAAUUGUGUGUUCGCUUAUUUGUUUCCUCUAAUUAUUUGGGCAUUAUUUUUUAUUGCACCCAUAUGUUUCGUUUAGGCAUUACAAGAGAAAUUGUUGUUGUUAAUGAAGUUUGGUACUUGUGAUGUUGAAUGAUACUUAUUAUGUAAGUAAAUUAAUUAUUUUGUCUUUUUGAAGAAAAGGGUAAAUUUGAAUGAGUGUUCAUUAUCCUUUACUUAAUUAUGUACCUAUUUAAUGAAAUUAAUGUUUAAUAAUUUUAUGAGGUACAAUGGCUCGCACUAAGAAAGUAAGGGUGAAAUCUCCACCUCCCAAGAGAAAAGAAGGAGUUUCUACUUCUACUCCUAGACCACCACAUAUGAAAAGAAAAGCAAGUAGACGACUUGUACUUGAAAAGGAACCAUUAUCAGAACAGGAGGCUCAACAACAAGUAGAACAAGAAGAAGAACAAGGGGAACAAGAGGAGCAAAUUUCAUACAAUAAGUCGCGCUUCACUCUGCUGAAAGUAAAACAUGGUAUGAUUCUCGUAGGGAAGCUAAGGUGUUUGGUGAGAAGGUUACUCCUGAUACCAAGAAAGUUUACCAUCUCAAGGCCUAUUUGCUAAAAUUGGGAUGGGAGAAUUUCUUCAACCUCCCAAACAUUUAUUAUGAAGAGCUUGUUCAUGAAUUUCAUGGAAAUGUGGAAGGCAAGCAAUCUUUUCACUUCGACAUGGAAGAAAUUACAAGUACAGUGCGAGAACCAGUGUCUGAAUCCCUAGAGCUCAUUUGCAAAGCUUUCUUCAGGUUUUUGACAUGGGAUAUAAGGUUGAUUUGAAGAAAGCAUUUAAACCUCAUGACUUGGACUCAUAGAACAUGCUAGAGGCACUUGUAUGUUUGGGAGUUCAGUACAAGGCCACUCAUAAAUUUGGGCAAUAUUCUGUAUUAACUUCCUCUUUUAAGGAAUCUCAGUAUCUUCUCAUCUAUUUGUUUGCUUUCAAUGUAAUUCCAAGAGUGAGUGGUACUAAUGAGGCACGUACAAGUGAUAUCUAUUUCUUGGACAAGAUGGAGCAUGGGUUAGGCAACCUCUAAGGUAUUCCAUUGGGAAACAUUAUCACCAACAUAUGAGGGCAGUGGUUUACAAUAAUGCUAUCAAAUAUGCUUUCCUAUAUGCCGUUUCUUGACCUUGGUGUUUCAACGGGUUGGAGUAGAUUUCACUAAUGCUACCCCUACG
This 2050-nucleotide long non-coding RNA is filed under the name Coffea arabica (coffee). Its description in RNAcentral is "long non-coding RNA (CARA_LNC008259)". Lineage: Eukaryota; Viridiplantae; Streptophyta; Magnoliopsida; Gentianales; Rubiaceae. The record is from RNAcentral.